RNAcentral lists this microRNA precursor (174 nucleotides) under Citrus sinensis (sweet orange). RNAcentral's name for it is "miR1515a stem-loop (csi-MIR1515a, csi-MIR1515b)". Lineage: Eukaryota; Viridiplantae; Streptophyta; Magnoliopsida; Sapindales; Rutaceae. The record is from miRBase by way of RNAcentral.
UCGAUUUGCAUCAUUUUUGCGUGCAAUGAUCCCGAAUUUGCUCUCUUACUCAACUUUCUUUUUAAUUUACAAAUAUUCAUGUUUAUUGGUUUGAAAAAUAGAAAAAAAAAUUCUAAUUUUUGUUAACGGGGAUCUGGAUCAUUCACGCAAAAAUGAUUUGACUCGUGAGUUGGC